UACGUAGGGUGCGAGCGUUGUCCGGAAUUAUUGGGCGUAAAGGGCUCGUAGGCGGUUUGUUGCGUCGGGAGUGAAAACUCAGGGCUUAACCCUGAGCCUGCUUCCGAUACGGGCAGACUAGAGGUAUGCAGGGGAGAACGGAAUUCCUGGUGUAGCGGUGAAAUGCGCAGAUAUCAGGAGGAACACCGGUGGCGAAAGCGGCUCACUGGACCCGAUCUGACACUGAGGUGCGAAAGCUAGGGUAGCAAACGGG
RNAcentral lists this ribosomal RNA (253 nucleotides) under uncultured bacterium. RNAcentral describes it as "partial 16S ribosomal RNA". It matches the Rfam family "Bacterial small subunit ribosomal RNA", at positions 524 to 776 of the family's 1533-position model. The record is from RNAcentral.